This 240-nucleotide long non-coding RNA is filed under the name Jatropha curcas. Its description in RNAcentral is "long non-coding RNA (JCUR_LNC000926)". Lineage: Eukaryota; Viridiplantae; Streptophyta; Magnoliopsida; Malpighiales; Euphorbiaceae. The record is from RNAcentral.
UUAAGUACGAGGGGGUGGUCCUAUACAUAAGAGGGGUGGUGCCUUGAAUGGUUGGACGCGUUUUGGUGGUGAAAUGGCUGGAGAGUUGGAAGAACUCCAGGGUUAAGCGUGCUCGCUUAACGGAAAUCCUAGGAUGGGUGACCUCCUGGGAAGUUUCCCAUUUCCCCCAAGAACAAAAACCGUGAGGGUGACCUUGUACGGAAGGGCCCAAAGCGGACAAUAUUCAGCCAUGUCAAGGGC